Gallus gallus (chicken) is the source of this 8466-nucleotide long non-coding RNA. RefSeq lists it as uncharacterized. The transcript is spliced from 2 exons. Lineage: Eukaryota; Metazoa; Chordata; Aves; Galliformes; Phasianidae. The record is from RefSeq and is a predicted model, not a curated record.
GCCCCGCCGCGGCCUGAAAGCAGCCGGAGGCCGAGCGCGGCCGUGGGGGAUGUAUGCGUCUUCCAAAAAGGCCUCGUUCAGAUGCCAAGUCAGAAGCAAUGCAGAACUACAGAGCCACUGGGAAAUCAAGCAUUUAUCUUCCGUGAACAAAUGUUAACUGUUAACUCAGAACUCCACGUCACAAGUAAUAGGCAGCCCUGAGUCAGCCAGAGCAAGGACUGUGCUAAGGUACAGAUUUCCCCCCCCCUUUUUUUUUUAAACUGAAGAAGCCCGUUGCUCUCUGUCAGAUCAUUUAAUGUAAAAGAAAAAAAAAAGGUUUAAACAAAUAAUCUGGGCUAUCUGAAUUGCAAAACAAAAGUGAUCUGAAAUAGUUUAGCAAAAUUAAAGCUUUUUAAUUCAUCUCAGUCAUGCUUGAAUGGAAUGAUGAAAACACAGAGAACUGCCCUCUUUCCUGUUAGCUCAAUGUAGAAAACAGGAGGUGACAGGAGAAAGCGUAGUUCAACUUACAAUUCUGAUGUUAGGAAAGUUGCAAAAUGUCUUUCAAAAUAUAUUUAAAUAUUCCUUAUAUGUCAAAGUGCUACUCUGACUAAAAUCAGGUAUCAUUGAAAAGCAUCAUUAAAGCACACUUAACAACCAGAAUGAAAAAAAUCCUCUCGAGAAUGACCUGCAUCCACAAGGACUGAAUACGUAUUUUCACCAAAAUCCUUCUAAGACUUCUGUGGUAACAGAAAGCACGCAAGCUAUUAUCCCUUCCCCCUCCUUUCUCACAUGAGGCUUCUGAGGGAGACUGGAAUGACUUGAGAAUUAGCGUCACCUUCAGAGACAACAGCUUGUGUAAGAGAUGCACUUAAGCCAUCUUUCUAUAUAAUAAAUACAAUAUAAAUCUGCAAGAUACACAAAUAAAAAAGUCUGACACUGAAAUACACCUUUCACUAAGAAUCUUACGGCUUGUGACAGAUGUAGUUUAAAACCAUCUAUCCAUGAUUUAGUUCAGUUAUUCUUUUCCCCACAGUUACUAGGCUUUCCAGUAUAUGACAUUGGUGAGGCUGUAAUUAGGCACUGAUGCCCUCUUCUCCUUUUGACAGUGAGGUCAUUUCGUAAGAUCCCAUUACCACCAACAUUUCAUCUAACUUUGAAGUCCGACACAAACUUACUGUUGAAACGUCCUAAUGUGCCAUUAGAGCAUUAAAGUGUGUGGAGCAAUAAACUUGCCAAAACAUGUUAACCCGGCUAUAGACUAGUUGUGUGCAAUUUGGAAUAUAGCUACUGCUUUCAAUGCACAGUUCCUAACAGCAAGUACGUAUUCUUCUUCACUUGUUCUCUGGAAAGGAAGAAGAAAUAUCCUAAGCUACGUAAAGUUACAAAGAAGGUUACAUAUUACUCUAAAUAGUUCUAAACUUUAUGGAACUGAAAAUUCUAAAUUGAACUGAGAAUGUGCAUUUUAAAAUUCCAAAACUUCAAAAGAUUUCUGUAUGAUUCAGCACUAAAUUUCUCUGCAUCCCUCUCUGUUACUUUCCAGUAGAACACAGCUUUGCCAUACUACAUAAACCCAUCAAGAGUAUUUAUACAAUCCAGAGUCUAUCCACAUCAGUUUUUAAUGACACUUUCUCCAAAAUACCUUUGUCACUUCUGAAUGUUUCUCCCAUUGUAUAACUCGUUUUAUAAAACCUCACAUCCACACAUACAGAGAUCACCAUCUCAAACAACUCCAUUUCAGUGUCACACAGUAAUAACAAGUUACCCAUUAGCACAUAUAUACACAUACACGUAAACUCAUGAAACCUCCAAACUGAAGGCCAAUGAGCACUCCAACUUCUAUAGACAGAGCUCAAAUCAUAGUCUAGCAACACAAAUUCUACCUCUAGGAAGAAGUGCAUAAGGUGAACCCCCUGUAAUACUGUUACUUUUCACAAAGCAAUUCAGAAAUAACUUUAUUAAAGUAUGAAAUUCUAACUCUAUUGUUUUUAAAUAUUAAAAUAUAUUAAAUUAUUCUAUAUAUUUAAAAAUAUAAGGUUGACAAGUUAAUUUGAGUUCAAGAUAACUUUGGGACCUCUGCUUUUUGUAAACAUCCCCCUCAUCAUUAAAUGAUGAGCUGGAAAAGGUCAGAGGAGAAUCAUUCUUUAGUACACAAGAUUCUCACGCUGUGUAUGUCUUCAGGACAGAAGAACUGUUUUACAGUGUAUUCAUUCACAAGAACUAAUACUAAGGAAAUAAACUUUUAGGUAACUAUUUCCAAAAGAAAUAGUACUACUGCAACAUGAAACUGCAGAACCACUCAGCCACUGGAAAAAAAACAAAACCAACAAUCUCAUUUGAGAAUUCACCCUAUACAGAGGACUGUCUAUUCUAAAGGACACUAUGUACAUAGGAAGGAACAGGACAGAUACUCACAGAAGUCCAAUCGUUCCAUUAUAAACGCGAGUUUACUGAGAAGAAUACUUUUUUGAACUAGGAAGAAUUUGAAACAAGAUGAUUGGAUUGGAAUGCUUAGCAUCUAUCCUAGGACCCACACAGAACCAGUAAAGAUCAGGACGGUUUCCAGGUUUGCAUGUUCAUAUGCAUUGCAUUAGGGAAGCAUUAAACAAGUUGUCAUAAUGUCCACUUAACUAACUUUAAUCCAGGUCAACAUCAAAAUUGAAAUAGGAAAAAAGCCUUAAAAUGAAGUGCUCACAUUUGUGUUCUGCUUUCAAAGCAAGAUCCAAACAUGAUGUAAUAGAUCAAAGGCAACUUGAAAUCAGUAUUACCUCCUGAAAGAGAACAUCCUACAUACUAACCUCUUUGAAACUACGAUACAGACACUAGUGUAAGUACCUGGAUCUUGAGAUGAAAGUCUCUGAAUUGCAGACAAACUCCCAGAGACAUAGGCAGUUCAUCCCUUAUCUGACAUGGAUAUCUGUUCCCCAACUAUUAAGUAUUUAUUAGAGAUUCUACAUGAAGUGGUCAUUAAUAAACGUUGACCAUGAACCAAGCUAGGCUGCUACCAAUCCAUGCCAGGUAUUAAUCUAGUUGAAUGCAUUUCCUAAGUUCAAGAGAACUGUAGAACACUAAAUGGAUCUGACAUUUUAAAGAUAAAAUUGUGAGCAUAUAAAAAAAAUCUGAACAUCGAAUAUUUGCUAAAACAUUAAAUUGCUCAGCUUCUGGAUGGAUUCAUUUGUGUGCAUCUGUCCUUACAGGGAAACAGCAAUGCUCAAGACACUUCACAAACUUUUGCAGGCUAUCAAUCAGUGCCUAAUUGUUGCCCUGGAAUCCAAGAACACUUUUUGUAUAGGCAACUUUACUACCGUUAUGGGGUGAGAAGGAAACCUUUUAUAUUGUUUUUUGGUUAAGUUAACACUGCUAUCAAGUGCCAAGCCAAGAGUUUUAGAAAUGGAUGCUGCAUCUACAAGGAUGACACAGUUAUAGUAAGACUACCCCAAUCUCUGCAAACAAAUGAUAUUAUGGCUAAGAUACCUAUGCCACUGUCAAGCUCUACUGAAAAUACCCAGAAUUUCUAUUGCUGAUAACUUAUAUUUAUAAAAAAAACAAAACCCAAAAAACUAGAACAAACUCAUUUCAUCCUGGUAGCUGCACUAGCCUCCAUUUACUGAAGCAGAAUCUGAAAUUUGCAGCUUAAAUUUAUACAGGUCUGAUAUCCGUCAUUUACACAGUUUAGUUUCCACUGUAGCUUAGGCUUAAACCCUUUGGCCAACAGACAGAAAUUGAGAGAACUCCAGAUCUGUGUUCUGAGAGGUGGACUAGAAGACAAAGCUCAAGCUCACUAGUGAGGUAAAUGAGUACUGCUUGUAUUAGAUGUGAACAGAAAUAAGCAUCUCCAUACAUAUAGUAGACUGCAUUAUGUGAUUGUUAAUAUUCAAACAAAUUAAGGUUUCUAUGACAACCAAGAAAUGCACUUGACCAUUUACAGCAAAAACAGAUCAUGCACUUUAUACAAUAACAAGUAGUUUAUGGCCUUGCCUACCUGCAAAUGAAUUCCUUCAGCAGGUACACAACAUAUUGCUUGAAGUCAUAAAAAUAUAUAUUAUCUUUCCUUUAGCAUUUAGAUAUAUAAAUAUUUUACUGAAGAACAUGCAUCAUUUAGAUAAACAAUUGUAAGAACAUCCUCUAAACAUGGGGUUCUUUGACAUUUGGCUGUAUAAAAAGAUUACACAAAGGUAGCUACUCAAAUCAAGACAAACCAAUACAGCAGUGAAGAGUCCAUUGUGUGCCAGUCUACAGUUAAGCACCUCUUGCAACAAGUUAUGUAAUAUAUACACACAUGAACGCAUCAUAAAUGGAGAAAAUAGCAUAAAUCCAUCUGUAUAUUCUUCAGUCUUGUUUGGACUCCCAACUUACUGUUCACUUUUCUGCUCUUGUUUUCCAUUCAGCUCUUGGUCAACUCUGCUUAGUAAAGAAAACAGCAAUGUUAAAACUAUAUUAAAAACAAAUUUAGUUCCUAAGCUUAUAUAUUAAGCAAAACUAUUCAUCUUAACAGGAAAAAGGUGAAAGCUCUUGCAGGGAACAAGUUUUAGCAUGUAAAUAUUGAAUAGUUAAGAUUUUUAUUAAAUGCAGUCACAAUAAGAUGUUUAAAAAGUCUGUUUUCCUACUUUCCCCUAGAAAUUGAGUAAAAUUGUUAAGAAGCCAUUAAAGUAAGUAUAGCAUUUGAAAAGCACAAGUGCAAUUUGACUGCACAGCAAGGAGAAAGAGCGGGUUCUGUACUCUUACUAAUAAAUACAAGCGGGAAUACAGUUCUCAGUUAACAAUACUAUCAGGUGCUACUACUUGAUGAAUUCAUACACUGCAAUAUUAGCACAGAAUUAUCUUCAAAUUUACAGUAAUUAAGCCAAGAAGGUAACAGCAUAAACUUAAUUAACAAGAGUUCAGUGGCUCCUUAACUGCACUACUUUCUAUUGAAUUAUAAGUCUCCUUUGUCUACCUAGAAAAAAUUCAUUUCUGAAGGGUUUCUGUAUCUACCUUGGGACCCCUGAACACAGUGUUGCUUUGCAGAAACUAGGGGAUGGCUCACACUCCUGCACGAAAUGUACUUUUCAUCUUUACUGUAAGAACAAACCACAGUCUUAACUAUAUCUCCAUUAUUUUCCAGAAGAUCACUUAAUUUUAGAACCAAUCAUAGUUCCAAAGCAACAGAGGCUCGGGAUAAGUUUGUCUUCUAACAGCUGAACUGACUAACCUAUCUGUUCAGUCUCUCCAACAAUAGCCAGCCAGUUUCUUCAAUAUGAUCAAAACAAUGACAGCUCUUCUAGGCCAUGAACCCAUAAAAACAGGAGGCAGAUUUUUUAUUUUUUUUUUUUAAACUGUCCUAUGAACUGCACCUAACACAGAUGGAUUCAGUAAAUCUGGAGCAGUGGUGUUUAGAAAGAACAUUCCCAAUUAAGGAAUAGUUUACCUGCACAGUAUGCUGCUGCAACCCAUCCCUGUCCUCACUGCAGUAACUUAGGAAAGCCUAUUUUGACAUGACUUGUAGAACUAAUUAUAGGAAGCACAAGAAAAUAUGGUAAGCUAAUGCAAGUUGGCUAUGCAUUGACAUAGAGUUGGCAAUAUAAAUCCACAGAAAUGUAUCAUACUGUAGCUUCCAAAAUGACUCAAAUAUACAUAGCCAAAGAAUUCCUACUGCCGUUUUCAACACUCUUCGUAAACAAACAUCAGCACAUCUCCCUUCCCAUACUACAAUAAUGCCUACAGCUGCUUUCAACAUGAUUAAUAUCUCACGAUCACUUAGUGCCCGUGACCUUCCCUGUCUACUUCAGAAGUGUGUUUUGAAGUAAAACUUCAAAAAAAAAGUAAAAAGUAAUGGUAAUAUAAGUAUCAACAUGGGCAGGGACACUAAAGAGUGCUACUUUUCCUCCAGAUUAUCGAGUUUACACGUUACUGCUUGAAUGUCUCAGGUUUAAAGCCUGAAUACAAUGGGCCUUGCAAUGCAAUUGAGUCAAAUCAUGCAUUCUGGAAAAAAAAGCAGGUAAAAUUAUUGUUCAAUAUAUACCAAAUGGGUUUCUCAAGUUCAGCUUUCUUAGAACUUAAGGUUACAACACCACAAGAUUCUCUUAAUUGCAGUAAUUCCGAGAGAAGUAGCCUCACAUGCAAGUUUUCAGAGAGAAUUACUUUUUAAUUUUCAUUUCACUGUUUCUUUGUUCAUUACCCAAGUUAGACAAUAAGCUUCCCUCAAUAGUUACACACAUGGAAAAGUAGUUAAAUAAGGUGAAGUUAAUAGCAGAACAUUCUAUACAUCUGUUAGUUACACAGUUAAAAGUAAAAGCAAAUAAAAUUAUCACAGCUACUAGGAUAGCUUGAAUGGUUAGCAAGAGACUGAAAGUUUACAAAGUGAAAAUCCAAUGAUUGUUACCAAGGAAUAUACGCACUGCAAAUACAAACAGCACUAAAAACAUUAGAUUGCAUCUGUGUAAGAUAAAAAGGUAGUUAAUAUGAAACUAAAUACAAGAUUAGAGCUUCCUCCACAGUUGUGCCUCUGCUGUGUACUACAGCUUAGCAUCUAAAAACAGGUCUUCAGACAUCACUUGUUAGAAACAGUGAAACAAUUUAAUCAGUUUGUACAGAAGCAUGCUUUUGCCUCUUGAAGAUGUGGUUAAGAAUCCACACACCCACCUUAAAACUUAGAAUCACAUUUAAUAGUAGAGACUAUUUACAGAUAUGUGAGUUUUCAGAUGUUACUUUCAUGCAUAAGAACUAGGUCACAAGUGCUUGUUUAUAUUUACAAAUGCUUAUUCCUUUACAUAAGCCAAUCAUCUGGGAGUUAGUUGCAGUGCAAAUAGUCUUAUCUAGAUGCAACCCUCAUCAAAACAUGAAUAUACCUUGUUUGUUUCUUUCUAAACUUUUCUUCUUCAUACCUUGGUGGGGAAAAGUUUGAUUUCAGUAAAUACACAAAGGCCAAAUUCAAUAGAAGCUACAAACUGGUGUUAGUGUCAAUAUAGUUUGUGGAAACAUACCAAGUUUAUAAAUGAAAAAAGCAAAAAAAAAAAAUCUUGUACCUUCAACAUCAUCAAUUAGUAUUAAAAUUUAAUUACUGUGACAUAUUAACCCAGAACAACUUCCUGUACAGUAUUUAUCCAUCGCUAAAGUCUAUAUUCUUAAUAGGUUAAAAUCAGAUAUCAAACACAGAAGUCUGAGAGUUAACUACUAUAAAGGAUUGACCUCUGAAGACUGAAACAGGCUGCCCAGAAAAGCUGUGGAUGCCCCAUCCCUGGAGGCUAGGCUGGAUGGGGCUCUGCGCAGCCUAAUACAGUGGGUGACAACCAGCCCACAGCAGGGGGUUGGAACUGGAGGGGCUUUAAUGUCCCUUCCAACCCAAGCAAUUCUUUAGUACAGAAAGUGGCUUUGUAAGACUUGGAAUGACAGCCUGAAUUUCCCUAACAUAUCCUUCAAAAAAUCCCAUGACAAAAUUCUCAAAGUAGCACAAGGCUGCUCCAACUUUGUCACAUCUUCUGCCCUCAACAAAAAACUGUGUUUGCUCUAUGCUAUAAAAAAAAAAUAAAUUUCACAACUAACGCCAGCUGAAUGUUUACUGCAGUACCCAGCAGUCAGUUUAUCCAACAUGGAUGUGAUGCUCUGCCCAAAGUGAUACUACACCAUCUUCCUUUAUAGAGUUCUCCAUUAGCCAUCACAUCUGUGAUCACCUAUUGUGGCACAUACUCUGUGGACUCUGUACGUUACACCUUCCAAUUAAUCUACUGACAGAAUUAUUAAUAUUUCCAUCUAGCUCUUUCAAGACAGAAGUUUAUUAUUUCUCUUUAUUACGGCAUCCACAGAUGCUGUUCAAGUGUCAUUAUCACACUUGAGAGCAGAGUUGUGCUGCCAUUAAGUGGAUAUUAUAUGGCAAAGAUCUGAAAGGAAGGAAGAACAGAAGGAAAAAAGAAAAUCAAGGACAUUGAUACUGCCUUCCCCUCUCUGUCAAAGUAGUUUCAGAAGUACUGUGGGUAGGGAUUCAAGCACUUCUUAUCCACAGCUUUCUUCAAAUGAAAUCCCUACCCAAGUGAUAUUUCACUCCUUAAGUUGUAGUGCAGUUUAGCACGAACAGUGAAGAUACCAUAAAUAAGCUCAACAUAAGCACACACAAUUUCUUACUCAAGCCCAUUUAGCAUACAGUAAGUAAAACAACUGCAGCAAGGUCUAAUCUACAGACGACCAGACACAGUCAUCAUAAACUGCUAAUUAAGUAAGACACUAUACAGGAAAGUCCUUGUACAUUAGCAUUCAUUCUGUUCUAUUGGAUAUUAAAACUGUAGUUCAGCAAUUCCUCCUAGAGAUAGCAGUUUUAUUAAAUACCAAGUAUUACAUUCAAACCAACCACUGAGUACAUUAUAUACCACCACCUAAACAUGGUCAACAUAGAACACAUUUGAAUUAUAAGACGUACUGUUUUAUGCAUUCUGGGAUGCCAACAUAUUCCAUGGGGAUGAGUUCAGCUAGUUCUGCCAGGGUAAAGACAUACCUAAUUUUCUGGCUGAAUUUUGAGCU